Long non-coding RNA from Cygnus olor (mute swan), 684 nucleotides. RefSeq lists it as uncharacterized. The record is from RefSeq and is a predicted model, not a curated record. The transcript has 2 exons. NCBI's taxonomy places the organism in Eukaryota, Metazoa, Chordata, Aves, Anseriformes, Anatidae.
CUUAUCUCAUUUCGGACCUCUCAGUUUAUGUGAACACCAGGCGGGGAACCACCAAGCCCAUGGCUACGUGUCAGGAACAGCACAUCUCUUUCUAUAUCAAGGUGAAUGGAUUAAACAAAACACUGCUGACUUAGCAGUAAAUAAGCGAGAAGGAAAGAUCUUACCCUGGACUGUGGAUAAACAUCAUUCAUUCUGCAGGCUCAGCGCCAACAGACUACCUCGCAGCUCCAUUUAUCUGACACUUUAGGGGCUACACUUAGAUAAGCAAGGAUAAUUGAAGCAAUUUUCAACAUCUUCACCAAACAAGCCAGAGGCAUAACCUUAUUUUUGAUAAUAGGUAAAUGAGAUUCAAAUGAGCAUUAUUAUUAUUAUUUUUUAACUGUGAGCAUGAUUAAUUACUGGAGCAAAUUAGCAGGGGAAGUGAUAGCUCUUCCAACACUUCAAGUCUUCAGUCCGAUGCCUGACCGAAGGACAUUCCUUAGCUAAAGACAAAUUUAGGAGCUUCAUACAAUUGUGUUGAAACUCUAUGGCUCGUGUAAUGGAUUUUAGAUGAGGUGAUCUUAAAACUUUAGUGUAAUUGUAUAUGUAUGAUUUUUACUUUUUUUUUUUUUUUUUGAGCUUUUGCUGGCUGUAAUUUCAGUAUCAUCAAUGUGAACUAAAUCCCUAUAAAAGUGCUAAGACUGA